AUAUGAAGGCUUUGGCUUCGCGGCCGGCUGAAAUAUUUUUUUCACCCAUGUCUUUUGCGCACUUGUUGUUUCCUGGGCGGGUUCGCCCGCCACCAGGACCAAACCAUAAACCUUUUUUUUAAUGCAGUUGCAAUCAGCGUCAGUAAAAAACAAUGUAAUUAUUACAACUUUCAACAACGGAUCUCUUGGUUCUGGCAUCGAUGAAGAACGCAGCGAAAUGCGAUACGUAGUGUGAAUUGCAGAAUUCAGUGAAUCAUCGAAUCUUUGAACGCACAUUGCGCCCUUUGGUAUUCCAAAGGGCAUGCCUGUUCGAGCGUCAUUUGUACCUUCAAGCUUUGCUUGGUGUUGGGCGUUUUUUGUCUCCCUCUUGCUGGGAGACUCGCCUUAAAACGAUUGGCAGCCGGCCUACUGGUUUCGGAGCGCAGCACAUAUUUUGCACUCUGUGUCAGGAGAAAAGGACGGUAAUCCAUCAAGACUCUACAAAUUUUAACUUUUGACCUCGGAUCAGGUAGGGAUACCCGCUGAACUUAAG
Molecule: ribosomal RNA, 532 nt
Filed under: Bipolaris setariae
Lineage: Eukaryota; Fungi; Ascomycota; Dothideomycetes; Pleosporales; Pleosporaceae
Description: eukaryotic LSU rRNA
Rfam family: 5.8S ribosomal RNA (bases 166-319)
Source: RNAcentral